UUUUUAUCAAAAUAAAUAAGUGUGAGCUAAUGCUAAUGUUAGCAAGCUAAUCUCAAAGCUAAUUUUCUUUCAUGUUAAAUAAAGUUGAUCGAUGAUCAAACCAUGAAAUAAGUUCAAACAUUACAAAAAAAUGAAACUUCAAUAAAUAAUGUAACCAGGAAUAUGAUAUGCACAGAAAAGCAAAAUUAACCUCAACAUUAGCAUGCUAGUGCUAAUGCUAAUGUUGAGAAUUUUUAAGAUCCAUUAACAGAAUAAUUCCCCUAAAAUUUCAGCAGUUUGUAUUUUCAUCAGUUUGUUUUGCAGAGUUUAAGAGAUUAUUGAUCAGAAACUAUAUAAGAAAUUUUAAAGUUUUAAACAUUCCAGUAAUACAUUAUUUAUCUGCACCGCUAACAGUAAUGAUAGCAUCCGGGAGAAAUAUUGCUAAUUUUGUUCCUGGAUGUCUGAAACAGUGAGAGGUUUGUUAUUAUCAGCUGGCAUGCCAGAUGAAUAAUUUAUAGAUUUUAUUGAUUGAUCAGUUUCAACAUUUUAUCAAAAUAAAUAAGAUGUGCUAUUAUUAGCAUGCUAACCUCAAAGCUAACUUUUUCUUUCAUACUUAACAGAAAAUAAAGUGGAUUCAUGUCCUUCAUGGUGAAACUAUGAAAUAAGUUCAAAUAGUGCAAAAAAUGAUCUGCAAUCAAAUAUAAACACAGAAAAGAGUAGUUAGCCGAUGCUAACAUUAGCAUGCUAAUGCUAAUUUUCCCUCAGAAUUUUAGCUGUUUGUCUCUUAAUUAUUCUGUUUAGUAGAAUUUAAGGUUUUAUUAUUCUAGGAUGAUAAGAAAUACGUUUUAAUCGUAGUAAUUGAUUAUCGUUCAUAUCACAAUAAAUCAGGUAGCAUCCGUUAGAAAACGGCUCUUCUGUGAGAGACGUUUGUAUUGCUAAUGCUAGUUAGCCUGAUCACUGGAACAAGCAGUGAAAUGCUACUGGUUUUAGGACAGGAAACUGGAAAACAUUCAGUGUGACGUAAACGUGAGUUCCUACCUGGCAGCUGCAGGUUUGGUGAUUUUGUUUCAGCCAGACUGAAAAAGUAAAACAGCUGAAAUCUGAUUCUUAAGUUAAUGAUAUGAAGCUCCGAUGGAAAUGAACCCUCUGCUGUUUAUUUACACAAUGCUACAUUAGAAAGCCGCUAGCUGCCACUUCGUCCUGAGCGUGAUGAAGAGGAUUUGACUAGAGGAGAGUUUUAGGAUUCAUCUUCACAGCCAGACGCAGAGCGCUGCAGCCCUGCAACAUGUCUGAGAACAGGAAGCAGAGUGUCGUCCUGCAUCCUGGUUGGCCGACGCUGGGUGAGGGUUUCCUGCAGCGGAUCUUCCAGCUUCAGGAUCUCUGCAGUAAAACAUGGAGGACAAACGAAGGGUUAACAGGUGUAAACAUGAAUCCAGUAGAAAACGAACCGUCUGCAUCAUAAUAAAAGCAUCUAAAACACGCGGAGCAGUUCGGUUCCAGAAAUGACGCAGGAUUAAAUUUAAAUGAGAAUAGUUUGUGGUUUUUUAUUUCAUCAUCCUGAAGUUGCAUCAUGAUGUUUUGCUUUGCGUUGAAAAGACGUUGCAUCAUUUUCAUCCCAGCUUUAAAUAAGCAAACAAAAAUACUGUCCAGAUUUGUCAAAUCUAGCGCGCCAGUCAGGGUAAAAACACAAAGAUGGCCGCCCGCCGUAAACAGAGCAACGUCCUCUUAAAGAGACAGGAGCCCUGAACAAAAACGGCUUCAGAAACUCACAUUUAGCUACAACUGCCCCUAUGGCAAGCCAAUUUAACAUAAAAUCAGUUUAGUCUCACUCUCUGGAAUCACAUUCCAAAUACAUAAAAAUGAGUUUUGAAUAAAAUCAAAAACAUUGAGCAUCCUGGUUGAAAAUGUAAGAUUUCUGCUUUUCACAGAUCCAAAUGCCAAAUGACAUAAUUCAUCCUCUGAAGGGUCGCACAACCAUAACUACAACUAAAGAUUUCUACAACGUACUUAUGAUGAGUCAAAAUUACAUAAAUCUGCAAAGAAUUUCCAUUUAUUCUCUAAAAAGACAAUUAAAUUAAAAACAGAUUUGAAGAGAUCAAAGUUCUGCUG
Poecilia latipinna (sailfin molly) is the source of this 2088-nucleotide long non-coding RNA. RefSeq lists it as uncharacterized. The record is from RefSeq and is a predicted model, not a curated record. NCBI's taxonomy places the organism in Eukaryota, Metazoa, Chordata, Actinopteri, Cyprinodontiformes, Poeciliidae. The transcript has 2 exons.